This 531-nucleotide ribosomal RNA is filed under the name uncultured bacterium. Its description in RNAcentral is "partial 16S ribosomal RNA". It matches the Rfam family "Bacterial small subunit ribosomal RNA", at positions 355 to 895 of the family's 1533-position model. The record is from RNAcentral.
UGGGGAAUAUUGCACAAUGGGCGCAAGCCUGAUGCAGCAACGCCGCGUGAGGGAUGACGGCCUUCGGGUUGUAAACCUCUUUUAGCAGGGAAGAAGCGAAAGUGACGGUACCUGCAGAAAAAGCACCGGCUAACUACGUGCCAGCAGCCGCGGUAAUACGUAGGGUGCAAGCGUUGUCCGGAAAUUAUUGGGCGUAAAGAGCUCGUAGGCGGUCUGUCGCGUCUGCUGUGAAAUCCCGAGGCUCAACCUCGGGCCUGCAGUGGGUACGGGCAGACUAGAGUGCGGUAGGGGAGAAUGGAACUCCUGGUGUAGCGGUGGAAUGCGCAGAUAUCAGGAAGAACACCGAUGGCGAAGGCAGUUCUCUGGGCCGUAACUGACGCUGAGGAGCGAAAGCGUGGGGAGCGAACAGGAUUAGAUACCCUGGUAGUCCACGCCGUAAACGUUGGGCGCUAGAUGUGGGGACCAUUCCACGGUUUCCGUGUCGCAGCUAACGCAUUAAGCGCCCCGCCUGGGGAGUACGGCCGCAAGGCU